GUGAUGGACUGCCUUUUGCAUAAUGAGCCUGCGAGUUGUGGUGUCUGGCAAGGUUAAGCAAACGCGAAGCCGUAGCGAAAGCGAGUCUGAAUAGGGCGCUUAGUCAGAUGCUGCAGACCCGAAACGAAGUGAUCUAUCCAUGAGCAAGUUGAAGCUAGUGUAAGAACUAGUGGAGGACUGAACCCAUAGGCGUUGAAAAGCCCCGGGAUGACUUGUGGAUAGGGGUGAAAGGCCAAUCAAACUUCGUGAUAGCUGGUUCUCUCCGAAAUAUAUUUAGGUAUAGCGUUGUGUCGUAAUAUAAGGGGGUAGAGCACUGAAUGGGCUAGGGCAUACACCAAUGUACCAAACCCUAUCAAACUCCGAAUACCUUAUAUGUAAUCACAGCAGUCAGGCGGCGAGUGAUAAAAUCCGUCGUCAAGAGGGAAACAACCCAGACUACCAGCUAAGGUCCCUAA
This 455-nucleotide ribosomal RNA is filed under the name Campylobacter sp. CH185. RNAcentral's name for it is "partial 23S ribosomal RNA". It matches the Rfam family "Bacterial large subunit ribosomal RNA", at positions 593 to 1051 of the family's 2925-position model. The record is from RNAcentral. Lineage: Bacteria; Pseudomonadati; Campylobacterota; Epsilonproteobacteria; Campylobacterales; Campylobacteraceae.